RNAcentral lists this long non-coding RNA (446 nucleotides) under Homo sapiens (human). RNAcentral's name for it is "HSALNT0352386". Lineage: Eukaryota; Metazoa; Chordata; Mammalia; Primates; Hominidae. The record is from RNAcentral.
AAUCCUGCUGCCUCAGCCUCCCAAAGUGCUGGAUUACAAGCAUGAGCCACUGUGCCCAGCCUUAAGUUUUUUUCAUACAGGAGGAAAGAAUUUGGAAAAUAAACACAAUCUGGGAAACAUUUUAUAAUACAGAGGGCCACACCAGAUUGAAUAUUGCCCCCAGGAAUGAAAUGAAAACAGGAAUGGAUUCUCCAGUAAGAGUUGUUUGAAUCGGUGGAUGCAGAACCCAUGAAUAUGGAGAGUCAAUUGCAUUUUAUUAUGCCCAAAGGUAAAUGCAUAAUUUUUCCACACAGCUAAUCUUCUAGCAACCCCAUUGCUGUCCAUGGCAAACAGGCUUAGUUAAUCUCGCCCUUUCCCGUUUCAGGUUCAUUAUACACCAUGGAAUACUAUGCAGCCAUAAAAAAUGAUGAGUUCAUGUCCUUACUAGGGACAUGGAUGAAGCUGGA